Molecule: ribosomal RNA, 464 nt
Filed under: uncultured bacterium
Lineage: Bacteria
Description: bacterial SSU rRNA
Rfam family: Bacterial small subunit ribosomal RNA
Source: RNAcentral
GCCAGACUCCUACGGGAGGCAGCAGUGAGGAAUAUUGGUCAAUGGGCGCGAGCCUGAACCAGCCAAGUCGCGUGAGGGAAGACGGUCCUAUGGAUUGUAAACCUCUUUUGUCGGGGAGCAAAAGACGCCACGUGUGCGGUUUGGAGAGUACCCGGAGAAAAAGCAUCGGCUAACUCCGUGCCAGCAGCCGCGGUAAUACGGAGGAUGCGAGCGUUAUCCGGAUUUAUUGGGUUUAAAGGGUGCGUAGGCGGAAUGCCAAGUCAGCGGUAAAAUCGGGGGGCUCAACCUCGCUCCGCCGUUGAAACUGGCGUUCUUGAGUGGGCGAGAAGUAUGCGGAAUGCGUGGUGUAGCGGUGAAAUGCAUAGAUAUCACGCAGAACUCCGAUUGCGAAGGCAGCGUACCGGCGCCCAACUGACGCUCAUGCACGAAAGCGUGGGUAUCGAACAGGAUUAGAUACCCGCGUA